This 65-nucleotide transfer RNA is filed under the name Dercas lycorias (plain sulphur). RNAcentral describes it as "tRNA-Ser". The record is from RNAcentral. Lineage: Eukaryota; Metazoa; Arthropoda; Insecta; Lepidoptera; Pieridae.
GAAAUAUAUAUAUAUAUUAUUGAGCUGCUAACUUAAUUUUUAGUGAUUAUAUCAUUAAUAUUUCU